Molecule: ribosomal RNA, 207 nt
Filed under: uncultured bacterium
Lineage: Bacteria
Description: partial 16S ribosomal RNA
Rfam family: Bacterial small subunit ribosomal RNA
Source: RNAcentral
CGCGCAGGCGGUGAUGUAAGUCUGAGGUGAAAACCCGAAGCUCGACUUCGGGACUGCCUUGGAUACUGCGUCACUUGAGGAUAGGAGAGGCAAGGGGAAUUCCACGUGUAGCGGUGAAAUGCGUAGAGAUGUGGAGGAACACCUGUGGCGAAGGCGCCUUGCUGGCCUAUUUCUGACGCUGAGGCGCGAAAGCGUGGGGAGCAAACA